GGAGGAGGAGGAGGUGCAGAAGGAGGCGGAGGUGAAGAAUAAAAAGGCCAAAGGAGAGUUUCUACCUUCUCGAAGUAAAGUUGUAGGAAUGCAAGCAAAGAAGAAAUUACCAGGGAUUGAAGCUGUGGAGGAAGAAGAGCCAGGAGAGGAAGAGGAAGAGGAAGAGGAGGGGGAGGAGGCAGCUGAUAAU
Molecule: long non-coding RNA, 190 nt
Organism: Cynoglossus semilaevis (tongue sole)
Lineage: Eukaryota; Metazoa; Chordata; Actinopteri; Pleuronectiformes; Cynoglossidae
Exons: 3
Source: RefSeq, a predicted model, not a curated record